This 492-nucleotide ribosomal RNA is filed under the name uncultured bacterium. RNAcentral's name for it is "partial 16S ribosomal RNA". It matches the Rfam family "Bacterial small subunit ribosomal RNA", at positions 29 to 507 of the family's 1533-position model. The record is from RNAcentral.
AGUGAACGCUGGCGGUAGGCCUAACACAUGCAAGUCGAACGGCAGCACAGUAAGAGCUUGCUCUUACGGGUGGCGAGUGGCGGACGGGUGAGGUAUACAUCGGAAUCUACUUUUUCGUGGGGGAUAACGUAGGGAAACUUACGCUAAUACCGCAUACGACCUACGGGUGAAAGCAGGGGAUCUUCGGACCUUGCGCGAUUGAAUGAGCCGAUGUCGGAUUAGCUAGUUGGCGGGGUAAAGGCCCACCAAGGCGACGAUCCGUAGCUGGUCUGAGAGGAUGAUCAGCCACACUGGAACUGAGACACGGUCCAGACUCCUACGGGAGGCAGCAGUGGGGAAUAUUGGACAAUGGGCGCAAGCCUGAUCCAGCCAUACCGCGUGUGUGAAGAAGGCCUUCGGGUUGUAAAGCCCUUUUGUUGGGAAGGAAAAGCAGCAGGUUAAUACCCCGCUGUUCUGACGGUACCCAAAGAAUAAGCACCGGCUAACUUCGUG